RNAcentral lists this ribosomal RNA (549 nucleotides) under uncultured bacterium. RNAcentral's name for it is "bacterial SSU rRNA". It matches the Rfam family "Bacterial small subunit ribosomal RNA", at positions 355 to 896 of the family's 1533-position model. The record is from RNAcentral.
UGGGGAAUUUUGGACAAUGGGCGCAAGCCUGAUCCAGCCAUGCCGCGUGUCUGAAGAAGGCCUUCGGGUUGUAAAGGACUUUUGUCAGGGAAGAAAAGGAUAGGGUUAAUACCCCUGUCUGAUGACGGUACCUGAAGAAUAAGCACCGGCUAACUACGUGCCAGCAGCCGCGGUAAUACGUAGGGUGCGAGCGUUAAUCGGAAUUACUGGGCGUAAAGCGGGCGCAGACGGUUACUUAAGCAGGAUGUGAAAUCCCCGGGCUCAACCUGGGAACUGCGUUCUGAACUGGGUGACUAGAGUGUGUCAGAGGGAGGUAGAAUUCCACGUGUAGCAGUGAAAUGCGUAGAGAUGUGGAGGAAUACCGAUGGCGAAGGCAGCCUCCUGGGAUAACACUGACGUUCAUGCCCGAAAGCGUGGGUAGCAAACAGGAUUAGAUACCCUGGUAGUCCACGCCCUAAACGAUGUCGAUUAGCUGUUGGGCAGCUUGACUGCUUAGUAGCGAAGCUAACGCGUGAAAUCGACCGCCUGGGGAGUACGGUCGCAAGGUUG